UGAAUAAUUUUCAUAAUUCAUGUGUUCUAUAGACUAUAGCAUAAAAUAAACAAAAUAUGUUGAUUAUUUUUAAAGAAUUUGUUUUAAAUUUAUUUUAUAAAAUUAAAACUAUUUAGAGAAAUGGUUUUUCGCUAGAAGCAUAUACGUUCGCAAGAAGCAGAUAGACAAUAAAAAGGGUUUUAUAAGCAAGCUCUAUGAUCGUACCUAAUCAGGUACGAUAGCCUUUUAUAUGUUCGCAAGAAGCAGAUAUACAAUAAAAAGGUUUCGUGCUCGUGAGGAACGUUAGAUGGCCGUAGAGGUACUAACUUGUAUGUGGGUGUAUUUGUCUGUUUAGAAAGACAAUGGAGAUGAGCCUAAUGAUAAAUGUUCAUAUAACUUUUACCUUUGCUCGUUGAUUUGGUUCGCUAGUAAUGUGAUUGUUUAAUUCCCUUGUCAGAGUUAUUGUUGUUGGUCCUCUCAACAUUUAAAGCGAGUGUCUCGAGGAUGAGACCGAGGGAACAUGACCCUUGUUCCCCUUAAGGGUUUAUUUCAGCAUUUCUUUUCGAGGUUCUAUUGUAGCCAUUAGUCUGAUCCUGACGUUUUUAGUGUUUGUUGGAUCAUUUCCAAAAUCGUUGGAUGGUUCAAGAAUUUAAUCAGGACCAUCGCUUUGCGUAGUGCGAAUUAGGUUACUUGUGGAACAUUGUAUGGGAUGGAAAUAUUAGGCUCUGAAACAUUUUGAGGAGAGUAUAAAAAGGUUGAGAGUGACUUUUUACUCUCCUUCAAACUUUUCCCUCUCUACAUCCAAGUAUAAGAGUUCAUACGUUUCUCAAGAUUCAACGGAGUUUACCAACUUCCUCCUUUCAACCUUUUUGUGUAGUGCAUUUGCUUCAUUUUCUCGUUAUUACUUUUACUAGGUUGGUGUUUUUCCUCUUUUAUUACUUCCUUUUUUAUGUUUCCAAUAUUUGUACUAAAAUGCAUGCGGUUUUAGGAUAUAAGGCAGAAGUAAGGUAAUUUGUAGCUGAUAGAGGUGGUGGUUUGUGGUAGUUUUUUAGCAUUUCUUGCGUAGAACGACAGUAUGGACACCACAAAACUGUCUUUUGGUUUGUUAACUAAUGUUUAAUAGGAGAUAUAGCACAAGGGUUUUAACUAAUAACCACCGUGAGUCGCGUGGCGCCUCCAUGAGUGGUGGUACCAUUUUUAGAAAUGCAAACUUUUAUUUUUAUUUUUAUAUUUAUUCUUCGUGAGGACGAUCUGACUCUUGCUCGCUGAAAUCGAACUAAUUGGAGAAGGAAGAGUUGAUUCAAAUGUCGAAUCCACUUUUUUGCCUCUUUCCCUUUCAGGUUUGAUAUGGAUAACAAACAUAAUUGGAUGCCUCCUAGAAAGGGGAUGAACCCUAAAGCAGUGGAAGAAGUUAUUCAGCAUUUUUGUGGAUUCCAUUUGGAGAAUCAAGGAUAGAUACCUCCUUGUUAGGCCAAAGAACGAUGGCACCUCGAACAACAUUUUGAAGGCGGAGAGUCACGUUCAGGAGGAUGGCACUCUAGUCCCUAAACAUGUUCCCUCUUUCCCUCUGUACUGGUGUAAAGACCACUUUAGACUAUUGUCGACAAGAAUGGGAAUGUUAUGCAUGACUAUGAAGGUUCCAUGAUAGAUUUACAAGAAACUAUCAGGAGGUUGAGCAAGAAUGGAUCCCAAAAUCCAGCUAGGGUCAAGAAGAGGGACCCUUAAAGUCUCAACACCCUGCUCUCAGGUACUAUGGGUUCGUCUUCCCUUGUGGUCUCCCUGACCAACACAUCAACACAGGUUGAACAACUAGUGUACUUGCAGUAGAUGACGAUCAAAAUGAAUGGAUCCCUCACCAUGAUUUUAACAAUGGUGUGGCCAGAGUAAAGGAGAUUUAUCUACUACCGGGAUCCACUUUUUGAAGGAAAGUAUAGAUGGAAAGUUCUGACCAAAUAGAUCAAGGCUGAAGGCGAGGGAUAAGAUGACCAGCCAUAGAUGCCCAUGUAAUUUUUCUUUUUCUUAUGGGAUUUGUAAUAUUUGAUGUAACCGGGCGUAAUGCUCAUAACAUUGUGUGGCUUACACCUAUUUUUGUACAAUCUAAAUAUUUUGUUCUUUUACGUUCCAUUUGCUUUGUA
This is a long non-coding RNA of Medicago truncatula (barrel medic), 2114 nucleotides long. RefSeq lists it as uncharacterized. NCBI's taxonomy places the organism in Eukaryota, Viridiplantae, Streptophyta, Magnoliopsida, Fabales, Fabaceae. The record is from RefSeq and is a predicted model, not a curated record. The transcript has 2 exons.